AUGAAGGUCUUAGGAUCGUAAAGCACUUUCGCCAGGGAUGAUAAUGACAGUACCUGGUAAAGAAACCCCGGCUAACUCCGUGCCAGCAGCCGCGGUAAUACGGAGGGGGUUAGCGUUGUUCGGAAUUACUGGGCGUAAAGCGUACGUAGGCGGAUCGGAAAGUUGGGGGUGAAAUCCCGGGGCUCAACCCUGGAACUGCCUCCAAAACUCUUGGUCUUGAGUUCGAGAGAGGUGAGUGGAAUUCCAAGUGUAGAGGUGAAAUUCGUAGAUAUUUGGAGGAACACCAGUGGCGAAGGCGGCUCACUGGCUCGAUACUGACGCUGAGGUACGAAAGUGUGGGGAGCAAACAGGAUUAGAUACCCUGGUAGUCCACACCGUAAACGAUGAAUGCCAGUCGUCGGGCAGUAUACUGUUCGGUGACACACCUAACGGAUUAAGCAUUCCGCCUGGGGAGUACGGUCGCAAGAUUAAAACUCAAAGG
Molecule: ribosomal RNA, 481 nt
Filed under: Sulfitobacter dubius
Lineage: Bacteria; Pseudomonadati; Pseudomonadota; Alphaproteobacteria; Rhodobacterales; Roseobacteraceae
Description: bacterial SSU rRNA
Rfam family: Bacterial small subunit ribosomal RNA
Source: RNAcentral